CCUACGAGAGGCAGCAGUGAGGAAUAUUGGUCAAUGGGCGGAAGCCUGAACCAGCCAAGUAGCGUGCAGGAUGACGGCCCUACGGGUUGUAAACUGCUUUUAUACGUGAAUACCGCGCCUUACGUUUAGGGCUUUGCAUGUACCGUAUUAAUAAGGACCGGCUAAUUACGUUCCAGCAGCCGCUGUAAUACGGAAUGUCCGGGAGUUAUCCGGAUUUUUUGGGUUUAAAGGGGGCGUAGGCCGCAUGUCAAGCGUGCUGUGAAAUGUUCGGGCUCAACCCGGGCCUUGCAGCGCGAACUGGCGUGCUGGAGACCGCGGAAAGCAGGCGGAAUUCGUCGUGUAGCGGUGAAAUGCUUAGAUAUGACGAAGAACCCCGAUUGCGAAGGCAGCUUGCUGCAGCGGAACUGACGCUGAUGCUCGAAAGCGCGGGUAUCGAACAGGAUUAGAUACCCUAGUAGUC
RNAcentral lists this ribosomal RNA (460 nucleotides) under uncultured bacterium. RNAcentral's name for it is "partial 16S ribosomal RNA". It matches the Rfam family "Bacterial small subunit ribosomal RNA", at positions 338 to 795 of the family's 1533-position model. The record is from RNAcentral.